RNAcentral lists this ribosomal RNA (403 nucleotides) under Verrucomicrobiota bacterium. RNAcentral describes it as "Verrucomicrobia bacterium partial 16S ribosomal RNA". It matches the Rfam family "Bacterial small subunit ribosomal RNA", at positions 355 to 776 of the family's 1533-position model. Lineage: Bacteria; Pseudomonadati; Verrucomicrobiota. The record is from RNAcentral.
UGGGGAAUAUUGCACAAUGGGGGAAACCCUGAUGCAGCGACGCCGCGUGAGCGAAGAAGGCUUUCGAGUCGUAAAGCUCUGUCCUAUGAGAAGAUAAUGACGGUAUCAUAGGAGGAAGCCCUGGCUAAAUACGUGCCAGCAGCCGCGGUAAUACGUAUGGGGCGAGCGUUGUCCGGAAUUAUUGGGCGUAAAGGGUACGUAGGCGGCCCAGUAAGUUAGAAGUGAAAUAAUAUAGCUCAACUAUAUAAAGCUUUUAAAACUGCUAGGCUUGAGAGAUGGAAGGGAAAGUGGAAUUCCUAGUGUAGCGGUGAAAUGCGCAGAUAUUAGGAAGAAUACCGGUGGCGAAGGCGACUUUCUGGUCAUCAUCUGACGCUGAGGUACGAAAGCGUGGGUAGCAAACAGG